CCCGGCACAGCCAGAAGAGGACUGGCCACCCCUCAUAGCCUGGUUCCUCUCUAGGUUUAUAAUCUCCACCCGGCACAGCCAGAAGAGGACUGGCCCACCCCUCAUAGCCUGGUUCCUCUCUAGGUUUAUAAUCUCCACCCGGCACAGCCAGAAGAGGACUGGCCACCCCUCAUAGCCUGGUUCCUCUCUAGGUUUAUAAUCUCCACCCGGCACAGCCAGAAGAGGACUGGCCACCCCUCAGAGCCUGGUUCCUCUCUAGGUUUAUAAUCUCCACCCGGCACAGCCAGAAGAGGACUGGCCACCCCACAUAGCCUGGUUCCUCUCUAGGUUUAUAAUCUCCACCCCUCAUAGCCUGGUUCCUCUCUAGGUUUAUAAUCUCCACCCCUCAUAGCCUGGUUCCUCUCUAGGUUUAUAAUCUCCACCCCUCAUAGCCUGGUUCCUCUCUAGGUUUAUAAUCUCCACCCCUCAUAGCCUGGUUCCUCUCUAGGUUUAUAAUCUCCACCCCUCAUAGCCUGGUUCCUCUCUAGG
Long non-coding RNA from Oncorhynchus keta (chum salmon), 528 nucleotides. RefSeq lists it as uncharacterized. The record is from RefSeq and is a predicted model, not a curated record. The transcript has 3 exons. Lineage: Eukaryota; Metazoa; Chordata; Actinopteri; Salmoniformes; Salmonidae.